AACAAACGCUGGCGGCGUGCCUAAUACAUGCAAGUCGAACGGGGAAAGCUUUCGGGUGAGUACUAGUGGCGCACGGGUGAGGAACGCGUGGAUAAUCUGCCUUAGAGUGGGGGAUAACUAGUCGCAAGAUUAGCUAAUACCGCAUAAGACCACGAGAGCUGCGGCUUUUGGGGUCAAAGGUUUUUCGCUCUAAGAUGAGUCCGCGUAAGAUUAGCUAGUUGGUGAGGUAACGGCUCACCAAGGCGACGAUCUUUAACUGGUCUGAGAGGAUGAUCAGUCACACUGGAACUGAGACACGGUCCAGACUCCUACGGGAGGCAGCAGUAGGGAAUAUUGCACAAUGGAGGAAACUCUGAUGCAGCGACGCCGCGUGAGUGAUGAAGGCCUUCGGGUCGUAAAGCUCUGUCGCAGGGGAAUAACACAAUGAAGGUACCCUGUAAGAAAGGAUCGGCUAACUUCGUG
RNAcentral lists this ribosomal RNA (462 nucleotides) under uncultured bacterium. Its description in RNAcentral is "partial 16S ribosomal RNA". It matches the Rfam family "Bacterial small subunit ribosomal RNA", at positions 29 to 507 of the family's 1533-position model. The record is from RNAcentral.